GGGUAUUUGUUGCCAUUUGUGCACGCCAGGUCCUUUACUCUCUCCGUGUAUAUAUUUUCCUUCUCGUUUUGGAGCAGCAAACGAUCGGAAGAGCGCGUAAGCAUUUGCAGGUGUGAGAUAUUGAUCGAUUUUCUGCAAAUUUAUUAUCAAUUUCUCGUUGAAGGAAAUGUGAAGAAUCCCCCUUUGUUGAGUUCCUCUCGAUUACUGAAACGAGAGGAUUUCGGUGCCUGAGAAUGAAUGCCAAACCAACUCCAAUUACUCUCAAGAUUGUUCUUCUUGGAGAUGGUAGAGUUGGGAAGACAUCACUUGUAUUGCGUUAUGUAAACAAUGAGUUCUCAGAGAAGCAAGAAGCUACUAUGCAGGCUUCAUACUUGACAAAGCGCCUUGUUAUCGAAGGUGUACCUAUCACUCUAGCUAUUUGGGACACAGCUGGACAAGAGAGGUUUCAUGCUUUGGGCCCUAUUUAUUAUCGUGAUGCAGAUGCAGCUCUUCUGGUUUAUGAUAUUACAGACAGUCACAGCUUCAAUAGAGUCAGGAAUUGGGUGAAGGAGCUCCAACAAAUGGCAUCUAAAAAUAUAAUUCUGGCAAUUGCUGCAAAUAAAAGUGAUCUGGUUCGCUCAAAGAAAUAUGACCUUCAAGAAGCUCAAAGCUAUGCAGCAUUGAUUGAAGCGAGGCUUUUUGUUACAUCUGCCAAAUCGGGGUCUGGAAUCGAUGAAGUUUUUCUUGAUAUAGCUACUAGGGGGCUGGAAGCAAGGAGGAGUAGUGCAGAGGGCUGUUCCCCAACUCCCCGAAGAAAAGGGUUGGUUAUUAUUGAUGAUCAACCUGAUACAGAGCCCCAGUUGAGAUGCUGUUCUUGAUACCAUAAAGCUUCAAACAUUAACAUGAAAACACAAAAUGUAUGAUGCUCGGUUGACACUAAUUGAACUCCAGGAUGUAGAGUGGCAAAUGUAAUAUACUGAUACGUUGACGAAGUCUUCGGCGUUUAUACAUUCAAGCCUCAUUUAUUGAUAUAAAGAAACAGGAAUGUUCCCUUUUCAGCUGAUUGCUGCCUUGAUAAAAUUGUGGUCCAUGUGUAAUUUGAUCUAGAAUUUAAUCCUGAAAUGAUUGUUUUAGAGCCUAGCUGGAUCAUGUGAUUCUUGUUAGCCUUUGUAUUUGUUUACUGUGUAAAAAUAAAUAAAAUGGGGUUGGUGUCCCUCAUGAGUGUUGAAGGA
Amborella trichopoda is the source of this 1211-nucleotide RNA transcript. RefSeq lists it as uncharacterized. Lineage: Eukaryota; Viridiplantae; Streptophyta; Magnoliopsida; Amborellales; Amborellaceae. The record is from RefSeq and is a predicted model, not a curated record.